UACGUAGGGUGCGAGCGUUGUCGGAAUUAUUGGGCGUAAAGAGCUCGUAGGCGGCUUGUCGCGUCGGAUGUGAAAGCCCGGGGCUUAACCCCGGGUCUGCAUUCGAUACGGGCAGGCUAGAGUUCGGUAGGGGAGAUCGGAAUUCCUGGUGUAGCGGUGAAAUGCGCAGAUAUCAGGAGGAACACCGGUGGCGAAGGCGGUUCUCUGGGCCUUACCUGACGCUGAGGAGCGAAAGCGUGGGGAGCGAACAGG
RNAcentral lists this ribosomal RNA (252 nucleotides) under uncultured bacterium. RNAcentral's name for it is "partial 16S ribosomal RNA". It matches the Rfam family "Bacterial small subunit ribosomal RNA", at positions 524 to 776 of the family's 1533-position model. The record is from RNAcentral.